UACGGGAGGCAGCAGUGGGGAAUAUUGCACAGUGGGCGCAAGCCUGAUGCAGCCAUGCCGCGUGUAUGAAGAAGGCCUUCGGGUUGUAAAGUACUUUCAGUCGUGAGGAAGGUGUUAAGGUUAAUAACCUUAGCAAUUGACGUUAGCGACAGAAGAAGCACCGGCUAACUCCGUGCCAGCAGCCGCGGUAAUACGGAGGGUGCGAGCGUUAAUCGGAAUUACUGGGCGUAAAGGGCACGCAGGCGGUUAAUUAAGUUGGAUGUGAAAUCCCCGGGCUUAACCUGGGAAUGGCAUUCAAGACUGGUUAGCUAGAGUCUUGUAGAGGGGGUAGAAUUCCAUGUGUAGCGGUGAAAUGCGUAGAGAUGUGGAGGAAUACCGGUGGCGAAGGCGGCCCCUGGACAAAGACUGACGCUCAUGUGCGAAAGCGUGGGGAGCAAACAGGGAUUAGAUACC
Molecule: ribosomal RNA, 453 nt
Filed under: uncultured bacterium
Lineage: Bacteria
Description: bacterial SSU rRNA
Rfam family: Bacterial small subunit ribosomal RNA
Source: RNAcentral